UAGGAAUUUUUCCUAUAGGAAUUCCUAUAGGAAUUUUUCCUAUAGGAAUUCCUAUAGGAAUUCCUAUAGGAAAAAUUCCUAUAGGAAUUUUGUAGCAAAAAUUCC
Paramuricea clavata is the source of this 105-nucleotide non-coding RNA. The record is from the annotation of a GenBank genome assembly. Lineage: Eukaryota; Metazoa; Cnidaria; Anthozoa; Malacalcyonacea; Plexauridae.